AUAGCGUAUAUUAAAAUUGUUGCAGUUAAAAAGCUCGUAGUUGGAUCUCAGGUGCGAGUCGUCGGUCCAGUCUUGUGCUGUGACUGUUGCGUUCUCCGCCUUCAUCAGUCGUUAGACGCUCUGUGGUGCUCUUUAUUGGGUGCUACGGAGUGCACGGCACGUUUACUUUGAAAAAAUUAGAGUGCUCAAAGCAGGCCAUUGCGCUUGAAUAGUCUUGCAUGGAAUAAUGGAAUAGGACUUCGGUUCUAUUUUGUUGGUUUUCGGACCCGGAGUAAUGAUUAAAAGGGACUGCCGGGGGCAUUUGUAUGGUGGUGUUAGAGGUGAAAUUCUUGGAUCGCCGCCAGACAAUCUACUG
This 355-nucleotide ribosomal RNA is filed under the name uncultured eukaryote. RNAcentral's name for it is "SSU rRNA". It matches the Rfam family "Eukaryotic small subunit ribosomal RNA", at positions 594 to 945 of the family's 1831-position model. The record is from RNAcentral.